Molecule: long non-coding RNA, 1060 nt
Organism: Oryza brachyantha (malo sina)
Lineage: Eukaryota; Viridiplantae; Streptophyta; Magnoliopsida; Poales; Poaceae
Exons: 3
Source: RefSeq, a predicted model, not a curated record
CAAAUCCAAACGAGACAGGGACGGUCGUGGCGAAGAAGCUCGCGGCGGCGCGUCGUCGUCGAGAGCUCCGGCGGCCGAGGUGAGGUGCUCGGCUGUUAGAUCAGGGAGGCUGGGAGGGCCAUGUCGUCUCUGCUGCGCUCGUCGGCCGUCCGUCGCGCUCUCUCCGCGGCCUCCCGGCCUUCCUUUCGCCGUGCCAUCUCGGCGGCAGCCACCGCGUCCGGAGGAGGAGGGGUGGAAGCUGCCGUCGCCCGCGGCCCAAACCCUACUGUGCCGCUGCCGCAACCUCACACUACACAGCAGAGCAAAGCUUAAGCUAAUCCGAUAACUUGCAAGCCUUGGGCUUAUAGAUUAAUGGCAUGAAUCAAAUUGGGGGCAAAUGGAGCUUGUCCUUUUCAUCUUAGAAACAUGUUUAUUUCUUCUAUUUAACAUGCACUGGCAUGCCUAAUUGUCUAGUUUGAUAGUAAUCCCUUUUUCUUUCAGAAGCAUUAAUCCUGCAUAAGAGUAACAGUUCAAUUCCUGGAGCCAGAUUAAUAGAGAAUUACAUUUUGAUUAUAGAAGGCAGAUUGCAGUUGACUAUGAAUUCCCAACCAUUGUUUGUUGUGAAGGAUGACAAGACUGAUCUGGAGCGAAAGCAUCUUCAAGAACUGGAGCGGAUGUUUCAACAAAUUUUCACUGAACAUGUGAAGCUGCACAGAUUUAUCCACAGCUCUGACCGUGACUAUUGUGACAGGUAUUUUGUCGCUCUUCAAGAAUGCAUAUCCACUAACUAUUCAUUUAAAAUACCAGACAUCAGGAUAACAGAGAAAAUAGUAAUAAUCAUAUCAUAGUUAAGGUUUCCCUCUGUUGAGAGAGAUGACCCACUAUUCUAGGCUAUCCAUGGAGAGAGGAUUUUAUUGGUCCAACACUUUUACUUGUGCAGCUAAGGGGAGACCCGCAAUAGAUCAUCUAUGUAGUUAUUUACAGGCUCUGUGGGCCUAUAAUAUACAAGCAACUUAUCCUGGCUGGGUUUUCGUGCUGUUUGGAAACCUGCCCUUGCUGCAUGGCUGUUAUAUUGUUCAAA